This 583-nucleotide ribosomal RNA is filed under the name uncultured bacterium. Its description in RNAcentral is "partial 16S ribosomal RNA". It matches the Rfam family "Bacterial small subunit ribosomal RNA", at positions 355 to 937 of the family's 1533-position model. The record is from RNAcentral.
UGGGGAAUUUUGGACAAUGGGCGAAAGCCUGAUCCAGCAAUGCCGCGUGUGUGAAGAAGGCCUUCGGGUUGUAAAGCACUUUUGUCCGGAAAGAAAUCCUCUGGGUUAAUACCUCGGGGGGAUGACGGUACCGGAAGAAUAAGCACCGGCUAACUACGUGCCAGCAGCCGCGGUAAUACGUAGGGUGCAAGCGUUAAUCGGAAUUACUGGGCGUAAAGCGUGCGCAGGCGGUUUUGUAAGACGGAUGUGAAAUCCCCGGGCUUAACCUGGGAACUGCAUUCGUGACUGCAAGGCUAGAGUAUGGCAGAGGGGGGUAGAAUUCCACGUGUAGCAGUGAAAUGCGUAGAGAUGUGGAGGAAUACCGAUGGCGGAGGCAGCCCCCUGGGCCAAUACUGACGCUCAUGCACGAAAGCGUGGGGAGCAAACAGGAUUAGAUACCCUGGUAGUCCACGCCCUAAACGAUGUCAACUAGUUGUUGGGGAUUCAUUUCCUUAGUAACGUAGCUAACGCGUGAAGUUGACCGCCUGGGGAGUACGGUCGCAAGAUUAAAACUUAAUGAAUUGACGGGGUCAUAGCUGUUUCC